Triticum aestivum (bread wheat) is the source of this 2202-nucleotide long non-coding RNA. RefSeq lists it as uncharacterized. Lineage: Eukaryota; Viridiplantae; Streptophyta; Magnoliopsida; Poales; Poaceae. The transcript is spliced from 3 exons. The record is from RefSeq and is a predicted model, not a curated record.
CCCAUUCUAUGGCCCAACAAGCCAUCCAACCUUCUCCAUCUCCGCCUCCUCCCAGAAGCGCCGUCAGUCGCCACGCCCUCGCUCCCCCCGAAGCGCCGCCACGCCCACCUCGAUCUCCGCUGCCACCUCCCACCCCUACCACCGCGGUAGUCCUACGCCCCCUGUACCCCGACCGCCGGCGCUCCUCCCAUCCCGAUCUUCGCCGAUGGUCCUGCGUCCUCACCACCUGACCUCCGGAGAAGCUCCUCCGACCCACCUCCCUCCCCGACCUCCGCUGCGCUCCCGCGCUCUUCGCCAUGGUCAUGCCCCCAUCCAUGCCGGUAGUGCAUGCUGGAUUAGGAGGUUGUACACGUACGUCUAUAUUUAUGUUCAAGUCGAGCUUCGUGAAUCAUGUAUGAUCAAGAACCUAUUGCCAUCAAUUCAAUCUCACAUGCAUGUGCUAGAUGCGGGAAGAAAUACUUCUCUUUUAAUUUGUAUAUGGAUGUGCGUAUUUAAUUUGUAUAUGGCUGUGCAUACGUAUGUAUGUACUGGCACAUCUUGCCGGAACCUGAUUGGGAAGUCAGAUUCGCUAAAUCUACGCGCCCGCGUCUUCGUGCCAUGUUAGUCGCAACUCACGGCCUGUAUCAACAACACCAAUUAUAUUUCUUCUCUUUUUAUUAUAACUAAUGUCAUCAAAUCUGAUAGUCGUCUACAGAGGUUUUCCCUGUGGAUACUGGGAUGCAUGGCACCAUUUUGCAGAUACUUGGAGUAUAUAUCUAGCAUAUCAAGCCACCAAAGACAAGUAAUACUUCGUUGAAACAAUAACAACAAUAUCUUCGUUUUAUCCAGAUGACAUCGUCCAUGUCUACUGAUGUGGUUGGCACUCACCACAGGUACUCUCUCCCCCAUAGAUGUACUAUUUUAUCUCUCUAGCUGUUUAUUAAAAAAAUUGGUCAUGUAUAGCAUUCAUGCCUUCUGGGGUAUAUAGAAGUCGAAGUGCCUAUGCGGGCUGCAAAAAUAGAGGGCGUCCCAACUCGGAUUUUGUGUCCUGCUCGAUCACGUCAGUAAUGGGCGUCGGACAUGGACUACACAUGGAACACUCUCUUUGCCACAUAAACGAUGGCCUCAAGCCCCUAUGUGGCAGUAUCUUUUCUCGCCGUUCUACCAUUUUCUCUAGAACAACGAUCUACAAGUUUGACGGAACACCGACCGCUAGUGCUCCACCUGAGGUACACCAUUGUACAAUCCACAUGCCAAACCAUGAGUAAAGUAGCAAGCUAUUAUGUUUCAAAAUUUAUUUGGAAGAGCAUUGUGUUUUGGGUUUUAUACUUAACCAUGAUCUUUUACUGUGUGCCCGCAACCAUAGCUUCUAUGGUAAUUAACUUGCCAUAUACAGAUAGUCUGCAGAGUUUACAAACAAGAUGAAACCAAUAAUGAUGAGUGACGAUUAUGGUAUGAUUGCCGGAUUAAUAAUUCAGAGCAAGAAAGCUAUUUUACUGGAAAAGCUGCGCUCCUGCGCUCUUCACCAUGGUCACACCCCCAUCCAUGCCGCUCUUUUCCCUGAACACCCAUGAGAGCGCCGCCACACUACGAUAGGAGCAAGUCGAGGUGCCUAUGCAGGCUGCAAAAAUGGAGGGCAUCACCGACUCGGAUGUUGUGUCCUGCUCAAGCACGUCAUUAAUGUGUGUUGGACAUGGACUCCACAUGGAAUGCUCUCGUUGCCACAUCAAAGAUGGCCUCAAGCCCCUAUACGGAAGUGUCCAGUCUUGCCGUUCUACCAUUUUCUCUAGAACAACGAUGUACAACUUCGACGGAACACGGAUCGUCAAUGCUCCACCUGAGAAUAAACUUCUCACGAGAAAUUACUUCUGGUGUUGCAAUGUAGCUAGAUUGGAGAGAAACAUGAUAGCAUCUUAAUAAUCUAGUAAGAGAUCGUAAACCAGUUUUUUAUCGGGGCCAGUUUUCGGCUGGAAGGAAGAAACUCCACUCGCUGGGAGGACUUGGUGGUAAUUUGCAAGGUCGUGCAGCAUUUUUCAUGUAAUUGGUAGCGAUCUAAGUCACAUGUUAUUAGAGUGGAUGUUACUACAACAUUUCCGUAUAAACGAAUGCCACUGAUCUUUGCAUAUAUAUUGAACUCCCUUUGUAAAUAAAUAUAAGAAGUUUUAAUAUGUUUCUACUACUAUAUGUUUUUCUCGAAAUUAUGACAAGAGAUCGAUUAGCUUC